Molecule: ribosomal RNA, 473 nt
Filed under: Buergeria japonica (Japanese Buerger's frog)
Lineage: Eukaryota; Metazoa; Chordata; Amphibia; Anura; Rhacophoridae
Description: partial 12S ribosomal RNA
Rfam family: Bacterial small subunit ribosomal RNA
Source: RNAcentral
CGAAAGUUAUUCUAAUUAAUACUUGAAUACACGACAGUUUGGGUACAAACUGAGAUUAGAUACCUCACUAUGCCAAACCGUAAAAUCAACUCACACCUAGCAGCGCCAGGGAAUUACGAGCUUAAGCUUAAAACCCAAAGGACUUGACGGUGUCCCACCCACCUAGAGGAGCCUGUUCUAUAAUCGAUGAUCCACGCUAUACCAAACCAUUUUUUGCUUUAUCAGCCUGUAUACCUCCGUCGUAAACUUACCACUUGAAUGCUUAAUAGUAGGUUUAAUGGCCCCCCGCCAAUACGUCAGGUCAAGGUGCAGCUCAUGAAAUGGAAAGCAAUGGGCUACAAUUUCUAACUUAGAACAUACGAAAUACUGCAUGAAAUAUAGUCAUGAAGGCGGAUUUAGUAGUAAAAGGGGAAUAGAGAGCCCCUUUAAACUUGGCCCCGGGACGUGUACAAACCGCCCGUCACCCUCUUCAA